UUAAAAAGCUCGUAGUUGGAUUUCUGGUUGGAGCAAUCGGUCGGCCCCGCAAGGGGUCUGUACUAGCGUUGUCUCGGGCCAUCCUUGUGGGAACUGUGCGGCCGUUAACUCGGUUGUAUGUGGGAACACAUCGUUUACUGUGAAAAAAUUAGAGUGUUUAAAGCAGGCUUAGGCCGUUGAAUACAUUAGCAUGGAAUAAUAAGAUAAGACUUGGGUCAUUAUUUUGUUGGUUUGCGGACUCAGGUAAUGAUUAAUAGGGAUAGUUGGGGGUAUUCAUAUUUAAUUGUCAGAGGUGAAAUUCUUGAUUUAUGAAAGAUGAACUUAGGCGAAAGCAUUUACCAAGGAUGUUUUCAUUAAUCAAGAACGAAAGUUAGGGGAUCGAAGAUGAUUAGAUACCAUCGUAGUCUUAACCAUAAACUAUGCCGACUAGGGAUUGGAGGUCGUUACUUAAUGACUCCUUC
Molecule: ribosomal RNA, 461 nt
Filed under: uncultured marine eukaryote
Lineage: Eukaryota
Description: SSU rRNA
Rfam family: Eukaryotic small subunit ribosomal RNA
Source: RNAcentral